CGAUGUCUGGUGUAAAUAAUGACUAGUUGAAAUCCUAGGAACAGAAAAGAUUUACAGUCCACCGACUGCUGGAGACACUCAUUUCCUUCACGGUGGGUGCGUCUCAAUCAGCUCCCUAGUUCGCUAGUCAGGGCGCUGAUCAAGGAGUCGGCCAAUUUUACUUCGACAAACUGACUGAAGUUACAACUUGUGUACGUGACGUACUGAUUUAUCAGCUGGUUGCGACACAACCCAUGUUUGCAGGGCAAAGUCACAGGUAACAGUACGAGUUAGCAGAUGCUUUGUUCCAACAAGAGGAUGAUUCAAGUGCACUUCAAGUACCCGGAUGAUUCACUUACUCAACUGAAUAAAAUGUGGGAGUUUUAAGUAACAGGAGGGGGGGCUACCACGUACUCACGCUGGAUGAGAAGCUGGCCAAUGACAAUCCAGUGGACAUCUUACAAAGGUAUUAAAUUAGGUGGUUUUAUUUUAAAAAAAAUGAAACCACCCAAUUUAAGACCUUUGUCCCAGGAGAAAAUGUUCACCUUAAAAAGUACAUUUCUAAAAUUAAAACAAGAAGAGUUUUAUAUUAUAUGACUACACAGUAAAAUAUAGCUGCAAGCAGCGAUGACGGACCAAUGCACGGUGGGCAAGUGCAUCAAGUGGGUAAAUAUCAGUGGACUAUUUUAUGUUGUUACUGACCCAUUUGGGGACUGUAGGUAAAUGAAACCCCACAUUUUAGACAAAUGGGGGCGCUAGUGAGCCACUUAAGAGACACACCUUUGUCUGACCUUUUUGUCCACACUUAACAGCCGACAAAUGUGAUGUAUGUGUCAAAUUUCAAGUUCAUCUAAGCACGCCAAAAGCCUUAAAUAUGCCUGAAAUAAAAGUAAACUUUGACACGAUGCCAUGGCAACAUUCAUUCAUUCAUUCAUCUUCUACCGCUUAUCCGAACUACCUCGGGUCACGGGGAGCCUGUGCCUAUCUCAGGCGUCAUCGGGCAUCAAGGCAGGAUACACCCUGGACAGAGUGCCAACCCAUCGCAGGGCACACACACACUCUCAUUCACUCACGCAAUCACACACUAGGGACAAUUUUCCAGAGAUGCCAAUCAACCUACCAUGCAUGUCUUUGGACCGGGGGAGGAAACCGGAGUACCCGGAGGAAACCCCCGAGGCACGGGGAGAACAUGCAAACUCCACACACACAAGAUGGAGGCGGGAAUCGAACCCCAACCCUGGAGGUGUGAGCCGAACGUGCUAACCACUAAGCCACCGUGCCUUUUCGCAUCUGCAAUAUUCGCAUCUCCAAUAUCUCUGCAUCAUGGUGGCCAAGUGUGGUCUCAAUUGCAUGAAUCCCCUAGGAGGAGUAUUUAAAAGUUUACCGCAUGCAGCUGACAAAAAAUCCACCUUUGUGACUGACACACUUCCUGGGGCCUGUUGGUGGCGCUAUGUCCGAGAUUCACAAUAAGCACAUCGAUGCGAUCGGAAUCCUUGGCCGAACAUACACACCGCGUGUAAUCACAAUAAGACAUUUUUUGCUUUAAAUAUUAGACACUUCCUGUUUCUCUGAAUUCGCCAUAACUUAGUCGCCUCGCCAUGGCAGCACCGUUCGAGAUAUCAAAAAUCCCUUCGCAAUUUAGCAAGUGCAAUCACUCGGCAUCAUGUUCACCACGUUUGAUGUCAAUCGCAUGAAUUCCCUAGGAGGAGUAUUUAAAAGUUCACCGCAUGCACUUAUAAAACAAUCCAAAAUGGCCAACUUCCUGUUGGGCGGAGCUCAUAGUUUAGAGCGCGAAAGUGACUCUGAAGUGUGUGCCAAAUUUCAAGAGUUUUCGAGCAUGUUAAGGGACCCCAAUUGGCCAAUGUGUGGGGAAAAAAUAUAUAUAUAUAUAUAUAAAUAAUACUCCCGAGCAAAAACAAUAGGGCUUCGCACCAUUCGGGGCUCAGGCCCUAAUAAUAUAAAACUCUUCUUGUUUUAAAUUCUCACUGAGGGCUAAAACCCCCCUAAAGGUGAAAUCCUAGAACCGCCUUCUUAUGCCUACCGAAAAUCUUACUAUUUAUUUUUACUUCAAAUAUUUAAGUACAUUAAAUAUCAGAAAAUGACUUUUGAUACUUAAGUACAGUAAAUAUCAGAUACUUUAAGUAUCCCUUAAACAAAAGUGGCACCUUGAGUGGCAUCCAAGAUUAAUCUUGUCUCAAAUGCUAAGACGAAUUUUGGCUUAAAAAUACUUUUCAUGUAGGUUAAUAAUUUCCUACAAUGCCGUUUGUCUACCUGCUCCAAGUGCUUGAACCCUUCUAUGUAAAAAGAGCGAUGCAGCAGCGCUUAAGUACUUUACUCUGUCUCUCUCGUCACCUUCUUGCCAGUAUACUCUGACAACGCUCUGCUGACACAUCACACAGAUCUCAUAGACUGUUGGCACGAGACCAACGAGCUUGUGUAGGAAAAGGCUUCACAAUAAGUUUGACUUGACCGCGCAUGUUAAGACGAGUUCGUGAAGCGAAGGUUCGACAGUGGCAGAUGGACCUUUUCAACUGUUUCAACCAGCGACGGGCAAUGAAGCAGACAGCAAAAUGAUAGCUGAGAAAAUCUCAAAUGAACACACACACACACACACACACACACACACACACACACACACACACACAAAUAGUUCUUAGGCUACUUACCCUUAUGAAAGAGAAGGCAAAAGAAAUUUGACUGGCACAUGAAUGAAUAAACCUCCCCCUCUCUCUCUCUCUCACUCAAUCAUUAACUCAGGGAGAGCUAUAAGAUGUUGAGCAAAAUAUUAAACAUGACAGAGAGAGAGAGAGAGAGAGAGAGAGAGAAACAGACAGACAGAGACAGUGCGUUAAACCACAAAGGAGAAGAAGUUUAUGCAGCUCUGUUACAACGUCUGUAAAACAUAAAAAUAUUGGAAAACUGUCAGCUGAGAUAACCAUAACAGAAUGUUUUCUUAGCGUUAGAGUUAUUACUGAUGUAUUUUAUUUCAUCAAAUAAUAUGGGUAUAUGGUAGCCUAAUGGUUAAGGUGUUGGGCUACCAAUCGGAAGGUUGUGAGUGCUAUCCCAGGUCCACCAAGCUGCCACUGUUGGGCCCCUGAGCAAGGCCCUUAACCCUCAAUUGCUCAGUUGUACAAAAAUGUCGCACUGGAUAAGGGCGUCUGCCAAAUGCUGUAAAUGUUAAUAAUUUUUAUUUAAAAAAACAUUUUUUUUAAAUUCCAUGGAAUCUGGAACAAACGAAGCAGAAGUUGUAAAAGUCUUGUCCGGGUUUUUGGACUUUUUUCCUGCAGCACGUGUGUGUGAAAGACGGCAGACACAUGCGUUCCUCUGAGUGUGUUCUGCUGCACUGUAACACCAUCCUUUUCCAUCUAGUCUGUGGGAGUUGGAGAGUGAUUGACCUGUCUUUAGUCUUCCUGUCAGCUCAGACCACCAGUCUGGUCAUUCUCUUCCAAUCUCUUUCAUUAACAAGGUGUUUCAUCCUGCAGUCCCUCUGCUCACAGGUCGUUUUUUUGUCUUUCCCCUCACCCUUCUGUGUAAACUCUAGAGACUGUCGUUAAUGAAAAAUCCCAGGAAAUACCCUCGAGACAGUCACAGAGAUCAGAGAUUUUUUUUUUAUCAUUCUGAUGUAAAGAUGAACUGAUCUCCUGACCUACAUCUGCAUGAAUUUAUGUGUUGUGCUGCCACCUGGUUAAAUGGUUAGAGAACUGCAUGAAUGUGCUGAUGUUCCUAAUAAAGUGGAAAAUGAGUGUAUAAAGUGAUAAUACGUGACAAUGUUAUUCGCAUUUAAAUGAAGAAUUGAGGAUGCAUGUUGAACAUACCCUUAAAUGUGCUCACACAACACACACAGCACCAGGUUAAACUUUUUGAACCAUCAUUAAGUAAAACAUUGCAGCAGUGUGACGUAAACACACACCCCAACACACACAGUCCAGGAAAGCAAACACACGAUCAAGUCGAAUAAGA
Long non-coding RNA from Tachysurus vachellii, 3939 nucleotides. RefSeq lists it as uncharacterized. NCBI's taxonomy places the organism in Eukaryota, Metazoa, Chordata, Actinopteri, Siluriformes, Bagridae. The record is from RefSeq and is a predicted model, not a curated record. The transcript has 3 exons.